AAAACCCAACAGAAACUAAGAUUAUAAUCUGUGCCUUUUAAAAAUUCCAUUCAACAUAUGUUCGUAAACAGACUUGAGCCAAAUUUCAGCUCCCCAAAAGAAUAUUCAGCCCGAGAACUUCUACAAAUGGAUGAUAAAGUCCUGCUUUUCCCCUUGUAAUCAUUGCUUUUCUGAGACACCAGAUCCUCUCUUAGCCUCAUUACAAGUUCCCACCAGCAUAAAAUGUAUUUUUCAUUUCCAUUUCCCAUAGUAUUGUUUUCCAAAAAUGGCAUUUCCCAGCACAAGACAACUCUCCUUCACUCCUUUUUUAUGUCACCUCCUCAAUACAAAAGCAUUGUCUCAGUGACAAGGUUCUGUUCUUCUAAAAAGAUGAAAAAAAUCCAAGUGGUACUAAUAAAUAUUUACUUAAUGUAAAGAAAAGGGAAUUCAACAGUUAAGGAUGAAAAUUACAGGGGGAAAAAAAUGGUGUUUGGGAAGGCAAGAAGUUCAGUGCUGUUUAUGAGAAUGACUGCUCAAUGGCUCCUUCUGGGACACAGCGAGAUGACUUCUUUAAAAGUAUGGUCUAGAAAUACCCCCAAAUCACUGAAAUUAUAAGUCACCCGAGUAUUUCAGCUGCAAUACAAAAUUAAGAAAUAUCAGGACACAUAAUGAAAAUGGUGGAAUGAAACCAGCAUUGCACUGAGUUCUCUACGUUAAAAGGGGAAGGGGGGCUGAAGUGAAAGGUUUUAUUUUUACUUAAUUACUCUCAGUGCUCCCUGGAGACUCCUUCCAAAGCGUAUUUUGUAUUUGGACCUAAAUGCAAGCAGGAUUCAGCCUUGAUCUUAUUCCUUAUGACAAUAGGUUUCUUAAAUUAGAAGUCCCACAACUGGAAUGUUGACACCACUGCUGGCUCCUCCAGCACCUCAGAGUCUCUCCUGUGUUAUCAAUCCAUUAACCUGGGAAGCAGUGAGAACAGGGGAACACAGACUGUUCAAAAUUAAAAAAUCCAUCCACAAAAUAAUAACUUGUGAGCUUACAGCAUCUUUCAUCCAUUUCUAUGUAAGUGGAAAUGGGAAGUCUCAAAAUACUUAAAAAAAAAAAACAAACCACCACAACAAACCCACCCAACUUCAAGGUAUUCUGAAAUGAUAACAUAUUAAUUGAGUGAGCAUCCACCUGUGAUGCGAUUUAAGAGUCUCCUACUGCAGCAUUUCACACAUAUUCAAUCCACCUUCUGGUUACAGCUUGCAAGUUUAUGGUAUGUAGAAGGAACAGCAGAGCUGGUUAAAGAUUUUCUCUUGCUUCACAUACUCUGCAAGCUUCUCAUUAACUCAUACAUGACUUUAAUCAGUGCUGAAGCACACACUUCCUUCAGCAUGCAGCAGGACUGGGCUGGGGGAAAAAAAAUCCUCCACAAAAUAUUGUUGUAACCAUGAAUUAAAAAAGAGAAGGGCAACGUUUUCCUAAACUGGCUGCUGAUUUUCAUCUCUAAAGGGUUAAACCGACCUUCGCUGAUCCAGAAGAGGCAAUAAAAUAGAACUUUAAGGACAAAAAUGGAGCACUUCAAGAGAUUAUUAUGAAGAGCCACAUUCAAGAAGACAAAACCUUAUUCUUAAAGCACAGAUGCUUCUGAAACAAGAGAUCGCAUGUUUUUAACAGCACAUUGCCAACUGCUUAAAAUGAAUAAGCAAAACUAGGGGAAUCAGGGUGGGUUUUUUUCCUUUUUCCUCGGAGCUGGGAGGGAAGGGGCAUUCAUGGAUGUGGUAGCAGAGCCAGCUCUGCACUUCUGCAGGGCUGUGGAGCUGGUGCUGGUCGGUGUGUGGGGGGAGAAAACAGAGUAAAGCCUGAGAAAAACCCAUCAGAGCUCCUGUCCUCCCCUUCCAGCGUUAAUGGGAGGGAUACGAGUCCAUGGGAGCUGCAGUGGGGGAUGGUGCUGGCGGAGGGGGUGGGGAGAACCGAGCGAGGCCUUACAACCAUCAGCAGCUCUUGUUCUUGUUCCUUUCAGCCUUAGCAGGAGGAUGUGAAGCUCAUGGAGCCGGCAGCGGGAUGGGGCGGGGGGGGAAGCAGUGCAGGAUCAUAGUUUAGCUUUUGUCCCCUCUCCACAGGGUUAAUAGGAGGACACGAGUGUCACCGGGAUAAGGGCAGGGCCGGGGGGGCACGGCCGGGAUCGCAGCUCCCGCAGGGCUGCUGGCAGCGAGUGCUGGGAUUUGUGGGGUCCUGUGCGGAGUCACAACACCCGCGGGCGAGGUGUGGGGGGGAACACGGGGCAAACUUCCCUCAACGUGGCGGCUCCGCUUAUCCAGCACGGCGAGCCCGCGGUGCCCCGCGGGGUGGGGCGAGCCCCGGCCUUAUCAGUGGGGCGCAGGGAGCGCGGCUCCGCGGCCGCGGGCAGGGAGGGAGCGAGGGAGGGAGAGCCCAGGUGUGCCGGCAGAGGGAAGGGGGGCACAGGCGGCCCCGCAGCCGCUCUGAGGGCGCCGCUUACCCGCAGCGGGAGCGCGGAGCUGAGGCACGACCCCCGCCCCAAACCAGGGGAAACUUUCCCCAAACUUUGGCGCGGGGGUCCCGUCCCCCCUCAGCGGCUCCCUCACGGCGCCCCCCCCCUCAGAGGCUGUUCCCGCCCCCGCCGCAGGGGAGGGGGGCGCUGUUCCCGGCUCCGCGCCGCGUUUUCCCGCUCACCCCCCGCUCCCCGCGCCUCCUCACUCCUCCGCGCCUCCGGAUCCCUCCGCCGCAGCCGGCGCUGGGGCUUUUUCACCUCCCCCACCCCCAUCCCUUCAUCCCGAUUAUCCGUCCGAAGCUGCGGGGAGGAUGCGGGAAGGGAAACGCUUCUCCCACCCCGUUCCUGUAACAGGCGCCCGGCUAAGGCACCGCUGGACGGAGCCUUUUGCCAAGUGAGGGAGAGGAGGCGGUUGGGACUACUUGGCCUUCCUGCCACGGCUUUGGCGGAAGGAGCGCGCUUGAGCGAGAGGCUGUGAGUGCUGCGGCUCUCCUCAGCGCUUCCUGGAAACUCCCGCUUAGGAGCGAGGGGGGCGGGAGCGAAAGAGUCCCAGGCCGGGAAGGGGAGGGGGGGCAGAGCACAGCCCCCUCCCCGUGCCCGGAUGCCGCUCGAGCCCGCUGACACCCCUCAGACCGACCCUCACCCCCUCUUCCUGUGCAGAUGAAGCAGGGAGAAUUCAGGGUCUACUGGAAAAGGCAGCCUCCAGCUCUUGGACCAGGAAUCAUCGCUUGGCUUUAGACUCCUCCAGCACCACUCGGGAGCUGUGAAGGAUAACCUGCCCAACACCGGGAUCCUCUGAGCAGCUGCGAAAGAAGGAUGAGGCACAAAGAGGAGGAACUCACCCAGGUCCCACCCGGCACUGCAGAAGGAACCAGAAUUACCAGCCCUCGCUCUGCCUCGCCCAGGGUGUGCCCUGAUGGAAACAAACUGUUGGACAUUUUCUCCAAACACACCUCUGCUGCUGCACAGGUUUCUAACACCAUCUGCUGUUUAAAAGGAAGAUGGCAUUGGAGCUCAGCAGCACCGAGAGCUUGUUUGAUAAACCAGGCGCGACACCAGCAAAUCUGGAACGUUUCUGUAAUUGCCACAAUCCCUUUUUUUUCCUUAUUUCAAGCCCUGAACAUAUUUUGAUUUGAUCUUCGUUAUGAAGUGAAUUAUUUCUUCUCCAGAGGAAGCAGAAUCCCAGUGAGCAGCAGCCGGGUGUCAGGUCCGCAACACUUCAGUUUUCAUUCACAGCCAUGAGGCUGUGCCAUUUCAGCACCAACACAAAUUUCAAGCAGUGUCACUCCCUCCAAAGCUUGGCCCAAAGAACCGAGUUAAAAAUGUUACCAUAGGAGAGAGCCAUGGUCUCCCUGGGGUAUGAGGAGCUCAAAGCAAAUAGUAUUUUCUAUUAAAAAUAAAAAUAUUGAUCUUUUGCUGGCUCACACUGCUGCCUGUAGAACAGAAUAAACAUUCUAACCAAG
Long non-coding RNA from Prinia subflava (tawny-flanked prinia), 3936 nucleotides. RefSeq lists it as uncharacterized. The transcript is spliced from 5 exons. The record is from RefSeq and is a predicted model, not a curated record. NCBI's taxonomy places the organism in Eukaryota, Metazoa, Chordata, Aves, Passeriformes, Cisticolidae.